This 1240-nucleotide ribosomal RNA is filed under the name Salmonella enterica. Its description in RNAcentral is "partial 23S ribosomal RNA". It matches the Rfam family "Bacterial large subunit ribosomal RNA", at positions 1 to 1272 of the family's 2925-position model. The record is from RNAcentral. Lineage: Bacteria; Pseudomonadati; Pseudomonadota; Gammaproteobacteria; Enterobacterales; Enterobacteriaceae.
GGGUUGUGAGGUUAAGCGACUAAGCGUACACGGUGGAUGCCCUGGCAGUCAGAGGCGAUGAAGGGCGUGCUAAUCUGCGAUAAGCGCCGGUAAGGUGAUAUGAACCGUUAUAACCGGCGAUACCCGAAUGGGGAAACCCAGUGUGAUUCGUCACACUAUCAUUAACUGAAUCCAUAGGUUAAUGAGGCGAACCGGGGGAACUGAAACAUCUAAGUACCCCGAGGAAAAGAAAUCAACCGAGAUUCCCCCAGUAGCGGCGAGCGAACGGGGAGGAGCCCAGAGCCUGAAUCAGCAUGUGUGUUAGUGGAAGCGUCUGGAAAGGCGCGCGAUACAGGGUGACAGCCCCGUACACAAAAGCGCAUGUGCUGUGAGCUCGAUGAGUAGGGCGGGACACGUGGUAUCCUGUCUGAAUAUGGGGGGACCAUCCUCCAAGGCUAAAUACUCCUGACUGACCGAUAGUGAACCAGUACCGUGAGGGAAAGGCGAAAAGAACCCCGGCGAGGGGAGUGAAAAAGAACCUGAAACCGUGUACGUACAAGCAGUGGGAGCACCCUUCGGGGUGUGACUGCGUACCUUUUGUAUAAUGGGUCAGCGACUUAUAUUCUGUAGCAAGGUUAACCGAAUAGGGGAGCCGGAGGGAAACCGAGUCUUAACCGGGCGUUAAGUUGCAGGGUAUAGACCCGAAACCCGGUGAUCUAGCCAUGGGCAGGUUGAAGGUUGGGUAACACUAACUGGAGGACCGAACCGACUAAUGUUGAAAAAUUAGCGGAUGACCUGUGGCUGGGGGUGAAAGGCCAAUCAAACCGGGAGAUAGCUGGUUCUCCCCGAAAGCUAUUUAGGUAGCGCCUCGUGAAUUCAUCUCCGGGGGUAGAGCACUGUUUCGGCUAGGGGGCCAUCCCGGCUUACCAACCCGAUGCAAACUGCGAAUACCGGAGAAUGUUAUCACGGGAGACACACGGCGGGUGCUAACGUCCGUCGUGAAGAGGGAAACAACCCAGACCGCCAGCUAAGGUCCCAAAGUCAUGGUUAAGUGGGAAACGAUGUGGGAAGGCCCAGACAGCCAGGAUGUUGGCUUAGAAGCAGCCAUCAUUUAAAGAAAGCGUAAUAGCUCACUGGUCGAGUCGGCCUGCGCGGAAGAUGUAACGGGGCUAAACCAUGCACCGAAGCUGCGGCAGCGACACUGUGUGUUGUUGGGUAGGGGAGCGUUCUGUAAGCCUGUGAAGGUGUGUCGUGAGGCAUG